UUACUACUUCCUCCGUUCCGAAUUACUUGUCGCAGGUAUAUAUGGAUGUAUCUAGAUGUAUUUUAGUUCUAGAUACAUCCAUUUCUUCGACGAGUAAUUUGGAACGGAGGAAGUACUAC
Molecule: non-coding RNA, 119 nt
Organism: Triticum aestivum (bread wheat)
Lineage: Eukaryota; Viridiplantae; Streptophyta; Magnoliopsida; Poales; Poaceae
Source: Rfam